Small nuclear RNA from Chlorocebus sabaeus (green monkey), 104 nucleotides. Lineage: Eukaryota; Metazoa; Chordata; Mammalia; Primates; Cercopithecidae. The record is from RefSeq and is a predicted model, not a curated record.
GUGCUCGCUUCGGCAGCCCAUAUACUAAAAUUGGAACGAUACAGAGAUUAGCAUGGCCCCUGCACAAGGAUGACAUGCAAAUUCAUGAAGCAUUCCAUAUUUUU